CAUCUCCGUCUCUCCCAAUCCUUGUACCAGUGUCUGAUUUACAGAUGACGCUGGACGGGGUUU
Danio rerio (zebrafish) is the source of this 63-nucleotide microRNA precursor. NCBI's taxonomy places the organism in Eukaryota, Metazoa, Chordata, Actinopteri, Cypriniformes, Danionidae. The record is from Ensembl.